UUUCUAUGUUAGCGUGUCACUGUAUGUGUGUGUGUGUUACCAGCAGGCCGGCGGGAUGGCUGAAGGCCCGGCCAUGAGGAGCAGCAGGAUGACAUCAGAGGACAAACUGUGCUCAUAACAAUGUUCGUUUCCACGUAACCCGGACGGCCACUUUGGCCCGGUCUCCACGGUGUCAACCCUUCACCUCCUAUCAGUCGGUUGGAGGUGGGGUGUAGGUGCUGAGAGACACCUAAUCCUCGAGUACAGACACAGGCCUGGCUGGAGUGUCGCCAAGGACAAAGUGACCCAAAUGACGAACGUUGGCUGCCUCUGAGUCUGCUCGCCAUCCAAUCAGCCUGUCUCUGAUUAUUGAGCGGUGGGCGUCUCCAUCUUUUGUCCAUGGUGGUUGGAAAUGCAGAUCCUUGAUGAGGCAAAGCAUGAGAUGUUGAGGUCAUCAGGAAGACUCAUCCAAGACCACCUCAGCUCCGCUGCUCCAGAGCUACACGUCACGGAAAGAAGACCCAUCACGGCGUUUCACCUGCUGUUUCCCAGCAUUCCCCGCUUAGCUGCUGUAAUCCUGGGGGCCAUGGACAAUAUAAACACACACAGUGGAUUACACUCCGUGUGUGUCUGCGUGUGUGCGUGUGUGUGUGGGGGGGAUAAAAGAGAUGAAACAGAGGUGCAGUGUAAUCCAUUUGCAAGACGACUGUGUGUGUGUCUGUGUGUCCAUGAAGGGCCCUCUCACCAGGUAGGCCCAUUCAUCACUGAUGACGGUCUGUGUGCACGGGGCUUACUGUAGAUCCCCAGCUCACACACACACACACACACACACACACACAUAUAACUGUACACGAUGGGGCCACCCAAACUUUCUUUGCGCUCCUUUUACUUCUUACAGCAUUUUUCUUUUUUCUUUUUCGUGGUUUCACAGACGAUCUCUAUUCAACAGAGAUCGAAUGCCGAAAAUAGUGGAACAUUUAAAUGCUCCUACACGCACACACACACACACACACACACGCACGGCCCACCCAAGGACAAAUGUUAGCAGAUUAAUGAAACAUGCAAAUAUCCAGCGGGCUCAUCCAGCUCCGUCCCCCCUGCUGCGUCUCAUUCACAUGCAUCAGGACCAUUAAUAUGAACGUCAAAGGGGCCUGUACUGUAUGCACCAUUUGAAUGUUAAUCCUCGAGAAAAGAACCGUUGUUUUGCUGUUGCAAUAGAUCGGGUUUAGGGGUCGGAGGGGUUGUGGGGGUGUUUUGGUGAAGAAACCUUGAAGCAGUUUGAACAUGUUAAUGAACUUGAGGGGUUUAGCACCGGACCUGGACAAUAAAGUCCCCCUGAGCAUGAAAUGGUAGGAUGGGUUUCCUGCUGGUCUCCAUUCUCCGUCAUCCCUGGACCUCCUUAAGAUGUCCUGACCCAGGGAGAGGAGGGUGUGGGGGGGGAGGUAAAAAGGGGGGUCUGGAUGCAGUGUCCAGUCCUUCUCUUCGACCCGGUCCGACUCAACAACAACAGCUGAAAUGGCUUGCAGAUGUGGCUCGGCUAAUAAAUUCUUUGUGAACUCAGCAGACAUUGGGAGGUUUGGGAGUUUUCAAAGGGGGGUUGUGGAGCAGGCUGGACCUCAGGAGGGCUGUUUGCGUGUGUGAGUUUGGAUGUGUUUGUAAAAAAAUGUGCACGUGUGUGUGUAUGUGUAGUGCGCUUGCAUCCAUGAUCUCGUCCGUGAACCAUUCAGGGUUUUAUGUGCACACGUGCAUUUAUGUGUGUGUGUUUGUCCACUCCAGGUCUCAGUAAAACAUCAGGCCCAGUGUAUAAAUGUCUUUAGCUGCUGCUCACAUUGAUUUAUAGAAAUCUAUCAAGUCGGCCUGUAGAGACAAAGUGGGGAACACAAACCCCCGGUCUGCUGGCUGCUGAUACGACCCAGGAUAUAUUUAGGUGCACUUAAUAUGUAACUUUUUAAAAGACGAAAAAACAUAUUCUUCGUCUUACAGAUUCCUUUGCAAUAAAACACACCGUUGCUCAAUAUGAUACACUCUGGGGCCUUUGGUGCUAUAGAGCCUUACCUGGUCUGGGGUCAGGGUUAGCUGCGCAAGUUUGUUAUUUCAUUCCUAAAUACCUAAUGGUAACGUCUUUAAAGCAAGAUUCAAAAUAAUCCUUUUGGUUUGGUUUGUUUGUCUGUUUGUCAGCAGGAUUACCGAAACACUACUGGCCCUAUUUUCAUGAAACUUGGUGGAAGGAUGAAGCAUCAAAAUUGAUUGAAGAAAUGUAGAUGUAAUCAUUAUUUAUUUCCGAAUGUGAUGAGAUAUUCGCUGAAUUUGACAAAAAUAUAAGUUUAUAUUGUUUGUGUUUUCAUCUUUUUUCCGACAACUUUAACCCUUUCACAGUGUGUUAAUUGUAACAUUUUAUAGCCUAAAAAUGUCUUAUUCAGUGUUUGGUUGUAUGUAGCUCCACCCUCUCAGAGUUUGAAAUACAUCAGAUUUGAAACCAGCAUUCAUUCAGGGGCUUUAAAUACAGCAGCAAUCUUGAAAAGUAGGAAAGCAAUAAUUAGGAAUAAUUCGCUUUAAAGUAAAAAAACAAAUGAAAGUCUUUGACAAUGAAACAAAAAAAUCCUGAACUCUGUGUCGCUGUUUAAUUUUCCAAGGAUAUCCCUUGAUCCUGCACAACUUAUAUAUUUUCCAAACCAAGUGUUCCCCACUUUAAUGAAUGAUAUUUGAUUAUAUGUUAUAUAAUAUAAUGAUAUGUACACUGCUGCAAGCUAUCUGGGUCACGUCUUUUUUCUUCUUUUUUACUGUACAAAAGCCACUUUCCCACUAGGGAUUUAGACUGUCAGCACUCAGAUUACACUGCUGGUUCACUUUUAACAUGAACUACACACACACUUCACAAAUCAUACACCUUAAGUUGAGUGCUGCACUGACAGCCUACAAACCCGCUGUUCAAACAGGCUUAAUGCACUCACACAGGCCUCUCUGCUCUCUCUGAAGCCUCUGGAUGGAGGGAAUGCUGUUUUUCUCCGAACAAAACCCAAAAUGCCAAAACCGUAUGCAUGUGCCAAGACGCUGGUAUGCCUGGUUUUACUCAACAAACUCCCCCCGUUACUCACACACUCUCUCACACACACACUCUCCUCAAAAGAGAUGUAAUCAGCAGCCCGGGCUUUCAUGCAUUACCUCCCCCUCUUCCAAUAACACAUACACACACAUGGAGCUGCUAUCUGUUUCUUUCCCUUAUUUCACUCUCUCGCUCCCUUUUGUUACAACUUAUGUAAAGACUGUUGGUGUGUGUGUGUGUGUGUGUGUGUGUGUGUGUGUGUGUGUGUGUGUUCAGGGGAGAGAGAAAAGCCUUGGUGACAUUAAACACGGUUGACGGGGAGUGGGCAGAAUAAACAAGGUCCUGAGUAGAAAGGCUGCCCUUCAAACACUCCGUACUCGGUGCAUAGGCCCAGGAUCAACUGUGUUUAUCAAAAUCCUGGGGCUACAGAGGGAGAGAGACAAAGAAUGAGAGAGAGGGAGAGGGAGUGGGUUGCUCGGGCUCAGAGUACUGAGGAAAGACUAAAUUGAAGGUUGAAGUGAAACGUUGAGGGCCCUGACGCACCGAACCGGCCGUCGUUGGGACAUUGGUGGUUACCAUUUUGUGGCUGACCAUCGCCUGUUGUUUUUUAAAGAGUCUUUCUGGAUAAUAAAGUGAAACUUGAACUUGCUUUGUUCAUCACUUUUGGCACUAAAGUUGGCUGAUUCAGCAUAUUUGGAGUGGGAGGUUGUCGAUGAGACAGAGCUGUCUGACUGUUUCAGUAGUGAAUCAGUGUAUUCACUCAUUUUUGCAGCCUUGAUUUACCAGACAUAUUCUCGUAAAAUGUAUUUAGAUCCUUUAAUUAAAGGGCAGGCCCAUUAUUUCUUUUUAGUAUUUUUUAGGUUUUUAUAUCAUUCUGUAGUUUCCCACCGCUGUUCUUAUGUAUUCAGAUCCCAACAUUCAAAUUUUUAGUCGAAGUACGUAUGUUUUAGCAUCAAAAUGUUAUUUUCCCAAGCCUUUCUAAAAACGUUUGUGAUGUCAUGUGACCUGACGUAGGUUUCUGCAUGAUGACGCUGCUGCAUGUAUGGUAUAUAUACAUCCUUAUAGUCAGUGUAUUAACGUUAUAUAGAGUAACUUAGAUGGCGGUUGGCAUGCUCCCAGUUCGGAGAAGCAGACGGGAGUACCGGCACGGAAACUAGUUACUUUCCACCGCUGCAUAUUCCGAGAUUGUUGUCAAAGUCAUUUGGUUUGUCUUUCUGCACUGUUUUGGAUAAUAACUAGAAUAAUUUAAGUGCAUGUUGUCCGUCAGCAGUGUGUUUUUAAAGAAGAGGUAAGGCCUCUGAUGGUACUUCUUCUUUAAGGUCAGCUUGGUGUGUCGGAGCUCUGAAGGACUGACGUGAGAGUGAGAAGAACAGACACAUCUGAUAGAGGCCCUCUCUGAUUUAAAUCUGAAAAAUUGCACAGCGCUUUAAGAUUUGUGUCUAAGACAAAGACGAUGCAGGAGGAGUGCCGUUAUGAAACAGGUUGAGGGUGAUUAUUUCUAUCUAUCUAUUUACAGCCUGUCUUUAUGCAGCCUUUUGUCUUGUAAGCCUGUGUGUCAGGUUGGCUCUGAGGUUUAUUCGUACUUGCCUCCACAUGUUCCUCUGGGCCCUGUAGCGCAUGUAAUCUGGGUGGAUGUGGGUGUCCAUCUAUAUAUGAGAUAAACUGUGUGUCUGUGUGUACACAUUUAACUCUGAUCUCAUCUCCCAAUCACAGAGCGUCUUCUCAGCGGGACAGGAAAUUGUGUUGGAGUUCAGAGUUUAUUACACGAGCCACAGUUCAAAGACGGAGACUAGAGAAGAAUGAGACAGAUCUGUACAUUUAUGAGAGUGGAAUCCAUUUCUCAGCGUAUAUCACUGCUGCUCUAAGUACUCUAAUGCAGACUCAUAAAGCAUAAAUCAGCCUCGGGAUUGGGAGAGAUCGCCUGAGAGGUUCAACCGACCUGUUCAAUAUAUCGACUAACCCCCACAGGUGGAAAAAUGCAGAGUAAAACCACUCUGGAGAUGCUGUUGGAUUUUCACCUGUCACUUGGAUUUAGUUCAAAUUUGCACUAAUAGUGUCCUGAUAUCUGCCCUAUGCCUCAAAGCAAUAUGAUUAUCAAAACGUGCAUUUAUUAUAAAUCUAAAGGCUUUUAAAUACAAAGUUGUCAUCAUUUCACACAGAAACUAAAACUCUUAAGGGUACUUAAGAUAAAAUAUGAUGGUAUGUUGGCUCAGUUCAGGCCAUCACAUUGAUUAAGAAACUUUGUACAAAAACAUAAAGGUGAUGCAUUAAAGCAAAAUGUAAAGUGUAAUUCAUACAGUGCAAUAUUUUCAGGGUGGAAUUUCAUUUCAUUCUCACUGUGCAAUAUCAUUUUUCCACUUGCAAUUUUGUUAAUAGUCUGUCUAUUGUCGAUAGUUUCAUUAAGUUUCUACGGUCGUACCGGAGGCCUCGUUGGACACCGGUGACCGAGAGAAGUGAGUUUAAAGCGAGUUUCUAGACUGUUAGAGAUACUCUAAAAUAGUAAUUAAAGUAAUUUAACGACAUCUCAGACGGUAGUGGGUUUGAUCUGUCACCCAUCUGUACCGCUGUGGGUCUUAGAGGCCUUUUUAACAGCAGACAUUUUGUUUGUGGUAGUGGGAAGAAUACUCACAGGUGUUACUAAUUACACUAAUGAUGGCUCUGUUGCAUUCAAGUGUCCCAGUAAGUGUCAGUAAAUCAGCAUGACCGUUAACCUGGAUCCUGAAAUCACAAAGUACUUAAAUCAUCAUUAUUUUUCAUUAUUUACACCUGUGCUUUUACUACUGUGCAUCAAAAUAUCUUCAUGGAAAAGGUAUAUUGCUUCAGUCUAUUCAGUUAACCUAUUGAGUAUAGUAUGUUGAAAAAUUAAAAAAAAGUCAUAGUAUAGUAUGUCGAAAAAUUAA
This is a long non-coding RNA of Sebastes umbrosus (honeycomb rockfish), 5922 nucleotides long. RefSeq lists it as uncharacterized. Lineage: Eukaryota; Metazoa; Chordata; Actinopteri; Perciformes; Sebastidae. The record is from RefSeq and is a predicted model, not a curated record. The transcript has 5 exons.